CGGUGCCGGGAGCGGGUGAAAGAUGGCGGAGGGCGGCGGCGGCAGCGAGGCGGGCGAGGAGGGGCCGAGGGCGGCGGGGCCGCGGCCCCCGAGCGCGCGGGACUUGCAGUUGGCCUUGGCAGAAUUAUAUGAAGAUGAAGUGAAAUGCAAAGCUUCCAAAUCUGAUAGACCUCACGCUACAGCCUUUAAAAGCCCACGAACACCACCUCAAAGGUUCUAUUCAAGUGAACAUGAAUGCAGUGGAUUACAUAUAGUUCGACCUUCAACUGGGAAAAUUGUGAAUGAACUUUUCAAAGAGGCAAGGGAACAUGGGGCUGUCCCUCUGAAUGAAGCCACAAGAGCUUCGGGUGAUGACAAAUCUAAGUCUUUUACAGGUGGAGGGUACAGAUUGGGUAAUUCCUUUUGUAAGCGGUCUGAAUACAUCUAUGGAGAAACUCAGUUGCAAGAUGUUCAGAUUUUGCUUAAACUGUGGAGCAAUGGUUUCAGCUUAGACGAUGGAGAAUUGAGACCUUACAGUGACCCAACAAAUGCUCAGUUUCUGGAGUCCGUUAAGAGAGGAGAGAUUCCCCCGGAGCUUCAGCGCCUGGUUCACAGAGGCCACGUGAAUCUGGAUAUGGAGGAUCAUCAGGAUCAAGAAUACAUAAAACCUAGACUGAGGUUCAAGGCUUUUAGUGGAGAAGGACAGAAACUUGGAAGCCUCACACCUGAAAUAGUCAGUACACCUUCCUCCCCAGAAGAAGAGGAGAAGUCACUACUUAACGCAGUUGUUCUUAUUGAUGAUUCCGUGCCAACGACCAAAAUUCAGAUCAGGUUAGCAGACGGGAGCCGUUUGAUACAAAGAUUCAAUAGUACACACAGGAAGCAUGUGUGUGAUUCAUUUGCGAUAAAGAUACAUAUGUUGGAGAUCACUGCUUGGGUUCAGCGUUUAUUGAGGGCUCACUCAGAGCAGAAUCCUGUAUUUGGCGGGCAGCAUGUCACUUGCGGAAGGAGAAGGAGAAAAGUGAUCUAGAAGUGGUGGCCUCGACUCAUCCCAAGAAUGGAAGCACCUGUAUCUGUGAGCGGGUGGUCCGGGUGUUUCCCCAGGUAGAACUGGGGCGAAGAGGGCUGAAGAAUGUGCUCCUGAGAAGCCUGCAUGAGAUUAACCCCAUUACCCAAUCUUCCACGCAAGCAAAGAAGGCAGAAAUGACCUGGAGUUACAGAUUUCCAAAUAACCUUUAUAAACAGAAAAGGAUGAUCUCUGCAAACAUUCACCAGCUCUCACCAUGGUAAAUUCUAUUUUGAUCUUUGCCGUUCCCUCUUACAAAACUGUGCGUGCACGUUCACAACCCACAAGGCCACUAGCAGAGACGUGAGUAGCAGAAUCGUAAAUGAAAAUGGAGAGAAUUGGCAUAAAGGUGGAUGUCCUCAAUUCCUCAUCACGCCUCCACCACCAACUCUCACUGACCAACGUAACAUGCCUACAGAUGUUAUGACGGAAGUAAAGAUGGACAAAUGAUGCCAAAAACGGAAACCAACAAGCAAAUCCAGAGAAAAUAUAACGUGUUGCUUAUUCUCUUCCUUUUGGAUUGCUUUUCUGGGACUGUCUACUGUUUACAGGAAAGUACGUAGAAGAAUAAGUUAAAAGCUGCCACAGAGAAGUAAUCAGAGAAACCCAGAUGAUGAAACAUUUUACAGGACAGACCAGUGUCAUGAAAAAAAAGACUCUUCUAGAUUAAAGGAGAGGAGCUGGGUGGUGUACAGAGGCAGCAUGGCUUAGAGGAGAGAAAGUGACUAUAACCUGAAUUCUAGUCUUUAUUCCCCACUUACCAUCAGUGAGACCUUAGACGAGUCACUUCCCUCCUGCAAAAUGUUAUACAACAUAAUAAAUUUACGUUGCAUCUACCAUCUAUUGAUUUAAGGCUUCCUUGCUUUG
Molecule: RNA transcript, 1912 nt
Organism: Eubalaena glacialis (North Atlantic right whale)
Lineage: Eukaryota; Metazoa; Chordata; Mammalia; Artiodactyla; Balaenidae
Gene: UBXN2B
Gene name: UBX domain protein 2B
Exons: 14
Source: RefSeq, a predicted model, not a curated record